RNAcentral lists this ribosomal RNA (440 nucleotides) under uncultured bacterium. Its description in RNAcentral is "partial 16S ribosomal RNA". It matches the Rfam family "Bacterial small subunit ribosomal RNA", at positions 338 to 795 of the family's 1533-position model. The record is from RNAcentral.
CCUACGGGUGGCAGCAGUGGGGAAUAUUGCACAAUGGGGGAAACCCUGAUGCAGCGACGCCGCGUGAGUGAAGAAGUAAUUCGUUACGUAAAGCUCUAUCAGCAGGGAAGAAAAUGACGGUACCUGAGUAAGCAGCCCCGGCUAACUACGGGCCAGCAGCCGCGGGAAUACGUAGGGGGCAAGCGUUAUCCGGAUUUACUGGGUGUAAAGGGAGCGUAGACGGUGCUCCAAGUCUGGAGUGAAAUGCCGCAGUUUAACUGCGGAACUGCGUUGGAAACUGGCGGACGAGAGUGCGGGAGGGGUAUGCGGAAUGCGCGGUGUAGCGGUGAAAUGCGUAGAUAUUAGGAAGAACUCCGGUGGCGAAGGCAGCUUACUGGACCGACACUGACGUUGAGGCUCGAAAGCGUGGGGAGCGAACAGGAUUAGAUACCCGGGUAGUC